CCCAAUCAAGAAAACUCCCCCCCACUCCCUCCGCCACUCUCUCAUCCGCCACUCAUAAUGGCUGUUUCCGCCUCAGCAACCACUUUCACCUCCACAAACCUCAUCUACCCCCACCACACAACCACCACAUCCUCUACCUCCACCCCUACUUUCUCCCUCAAACCCACCUCCAAACUCCCCUCAAAAUCCAUCCUUUCCUCUUCUUUCCUCUCCCCCUUCACUCCCACUUCCCCAACCUCCCCCUUCACCACCACCCGCCACCGCACCUUCACUGUCCGUGCCGCGAGAGGGAAGUUCGAAAGAAAGAAACCCCAUGUCAACAUAGGCACCAUAGGC
This 336-nucleotide long non-coding RNA is filed under the name Populus trichocarpa (black cottonwood). Its description in RNAcentral is "long non-coding RNA (PTRI_LNC000107)". Lineage: Eukaryota; Viridiplantae; Streptophyta; Magnoliopsida; Malpighiales; Salicaceae. The record is from RNAcentral.